GAUGAACGCUGGCGGCGUGCCUAAUACAUGCAAGUCGAGCGAAGCGGGGACGGGUGAGUAACACGUGGAUAACCUCCUAUAAGACUGGGAUAACUUAGGGAAACCGGAGCUAAAACGGAUAAUUAUAGAUGGAUCAUGGCUGCAUUAGCUAGUUGGUAAGGUAACGGCUUACCAAGGCAACGAUGCCUAGCCGACCUGAGAGGGUGAUCUGCCACACUGGAACUCAGACACGGUCCAUACUCCUACGUGAGGCAGCAGUAGGGAAUCUUCCUCAAUGGGCGAACGCCUGACGGAGCUACGCCGCGUGAGUGAUGAAGGUCUUCGGAUCGUAAAACUCUUUUAUUAGGGAAGCGGUACCUAAUAAGAAAGCCACGGCUAACUACGUGCCAGCAGCCGCGGUAAUAC
Molecule: ribosomal RNA, 405 nt
Filed under: uncultured bacterium
Lineage: Bacteria
Description: partial 16S ribosomal RNA
Rfam family: Bacterial small subunit ribosomal RNA
Source: RNAcentral